UGAGGAAUAUUGGUCAAUGGGCGGAAGCCUGAACCAGCCAUGCCGCGUGCAGGACGACGGCCCUACGGGUUGUAAACUGCUUUUCCGGGGGAAGAAUAACCCCCCUGCGGGGGGGGAUGCCGGUACCCCGGGAAUAAGGAUCGGCUAACUCCGUGCCAGCAGCCGCGGUAAUACGGAGGAUCCUAGCGUUAUCCGGAUUUACUGGGUUUAAAGGGUGCGUAGGCGGGCGCUUAAGUCCGCGGUGAAAGUCUGCGGCUCAACCGUAGGAUUGCCGUGGAUACUGGGGGGCUUGGAUUCGGUCGGGGCGGGCGGAAUGCGUGGUGUAGCGGUGAAAUGCAUAGAUAUCACGCAGAACGCCGAUAGCGAAGGCAGCUCGCCGGGCCGACAUCGACGCUGAGGCACGAAAGCGUGGGGAUCAAACA
Molecule: ribosomal RNA, 422 nt
Filed under: uncultured bacterium
Lineage: Bacteria
Description: partial 16S ribosomal RNA
Rfam family: Bacterial small subunit ribosomal RNA
Source: RNAcentral